UACAGGGGGGGCAAGCGUUGUUCGGAAUUACUGGGCGUAAAGGGUCUGUAGGUGGCCAACUAAGUCAGACGUGAAAUCCCUCAGCUUAACUGGGGAACUGCGUCUGAUACUGGAUGGCUCGAGUGUGGGAGAGGAAUGCGGAAUUCCAGGUGUAGCGGUGAAAUGCGUAGAUAUCUGGAGGAACACCGACGGCGAAGGCAGCACUCUGGGCCGGUACUGACGCUGAGGAGCGAAAGCAUGGGGAGCGAACAGG
This 253-nucleotide ribosomal RNA is filed under the name uncultured bacterium. RNAcentral's name for it is "partial 16S ribosomal RNA". It matches the Rfam family "Bacterial small subunit ribosomal RNA", at positions 524 to 776 of the family's 1533-position model. The record is from RNAcentral.